RNAcentral lists this ribosomal RNA (836 nucleotides) under Streptomyces sp. IM-0080. Its description in RNAcentral is "bacterial SSU rRNA". It matches the Rfam family "Bacterial small subunit ribosomal RNA", at positions 38 to 889 of the family's 1533-position model. The record is from RNAcentral. Lineage: Bacteria; Bacillati; Actinomycetota; Actinomycetes; Kitasatosporales; Streptomycetaceae.
GGCGGCGUGCUUAACACAUGCAAGUCGAACGAUGAACCACUUCGGUGGGGAUUAGUGGCGAACGGGUGAGUAACACGUGGGCAAUCUGCCCUUCACUCUGGGACAAGCCCUGGAAACGGGGUCUAAUACCGGAUAUCACUUCUGCAGGCAUCUGUGGGAGUUGAAAGCUCCGGCGGUGAAGGAUGAGCCCGCGGCCUAUCAGCUUGUUGGUGAGGUAAUGGCUCACCAAGGCGACGACGGGUAGCCGGCCUGAGAGGGCGACCGGCCACACUGGGACUGAGACACGGCCCAGACUCCUACGGGAGGCAGCAGUGGGGAAUAUUGCACAAUGGGCGAAAGCCUGAUGCAGCGACGCCGCGUGAGGGAUGACGGCCUUCGGGUUGUAAACCUCUUUCAGCAGGGAAGAAGCGAAAGUGACGGUACCUGCAGAAGAAGCGCCGGCUAACUACGUGCCAGCAGCCGCGGUAAUACGUAGGGCGCAAGCGUUGUCCGGAAUUAUUGGGCGUAAAGAGCUCGUAGGCGGCUUGUCACGUCGGGUGUGAAAGCCCGGGGCUUAACCCCGGGUCUGCAUUCGAUACGGGCUAGCUAGAGUGUGGUAGGGGAGAUCGGAAUUCCUGGUGUAGCGGUGAAAUGCGCAGAUAUCAGGAGGAACACCGGUGGCGAAGGCGGAUCUCUGGGCCAUUACUGACGCUGAGGAGCGAAAGCGUGGGGAGCGAACAGGAUUAGAUACCCUGGUAGUCCACGCCGUAAACGGUGGGAACUAGGUGUUGGCGACAUUCCACGUCGUCGGUGCCGCAGCUAACGCAUUAAGUUCCCCGCCUGGGGAGUACGGCCGC